CCUACGGGUGGCUGCAGUGGGGAAUAUUGCACAAUGGGGGAAACCCUGAUGCAGCGAUGUCGCGUGGAGGAUGAAGGCUCUCGGAUUGUAAACCCUUUUUUUUCGGGACGUUAAAGACGGUACCUGAAGAAAAAGCUCCGUCUAACUACGUGCCCGCAGCCGCGGCAAUACGGCGGGAGCGAGCGUUGUCCGGAAUUACUGGGUGUAAAGGGAGUGUAGGGGGGUCGGCAGGUCAGGUGUGAAAGCUGAGGGCCCAACCUUCAGGUUGCAUUUGAAACUGGUGGUCUUGAGUGAAGUAGAGGUAAGCGGAAUUCGUGGUGUAGCGGUGAAAUGCGUAGAUAUUAGGAAGAACAUCGGUGGCGAAGGCAGCUUACUGGGCUCUUACUGACGCUCAUGCACGAAAGUGUGGGUAUCGAACAGGAUUAGAUACCCUGGUAGUC
Molecule: ribosomal RNA, 440 nt
Filed under: uncultured bacterium
Lineage: Bacteria
Description: partial 16S ribosomal RNA
Rfam family: Bacterial small subunit ribosomal RNA
Source: RNAcentral